UUGACGGGGGCCCGCACAAGCGGUGGAGCAUGUGGUUUAAUUCGAUGAUACGCGAGGAACCUUACCUGGGCUCAAAUGUAUGUUGACGUAUUCUGAAAGGGAUACUUCUUCGGACAAUAUACAAGGUGCUGCAUGGUUGUCGUCAGCUCGUGCCGUGAGGUGUCGGGUUAAGUCCCAUAACGAGCGCAACCCCUAUCAUUAGUUGCCAUCAGGUCAAGCUGGGGACUCUAAUGAAACUGCCUACGCAAGUAGUGAGGAAGGUGGGGAUGACGUCAAAUCAGCACGGCCCUUACGUCCAGGGCUACACACGUGCUACAAUGGCCGGUACAAAGGGCAGCUACCUGGUGACAGGAUGCUAAUCUCAAAAGCCGGUCUCAGUUCGGAUCGGAGUCUGCAACCCGACUCCGUGAAGCUGGAAUCGCUAGUGAUCGCGCAUCAGCCAUGGCGCGGUGAAUACGUUCCCGGGCCUU
Molecule: ribosomal RNA, 470 nt
Filed under: uncultured Sphingobacteriales bacterium
Lineage: Bacteria; Pseudomonadati; Bacteroidota; Sphingobacteriia; Sphingobacteriales
Description: bacterial SSU rRNA
Rfam family: Bacterial small subunit ribosomal RNA
Source: RNAcentral